GAUGAAGAACGUAGCGAAAUGCGAUAAGUAGUGUGAAUUGCAGAAUUCAGUGAAUCAUCGAAUCUUUGAACGCACAUUGCGCCCCUUGGUAUUCCAUGGGGCAUGCCUGUUCGAGCGUCAUUUGUACCCUCAAGCUUUGCUUGGUGUUGGGUGUUUGUCCUCUCCUUUGCGUUUGGACUCGCCUUAAAGCAAUUGGCAGCCAGUGUUUUGGUAUUGAAGCGCAGCACAAUUUGCGAUUCUAACCGACUACACUUGCGUCCAUAAGCCUUUUUUAACUUUUGACCUCGGAUCGGGUAGGGAUACCCGCUGAACUUAAGCAUAUCAAUAAGCGGAGGA
Molecule: unclassified non-coding RNA, 336 nt
Filed under: soil metagenome
Description: partial contains 5.8S ribosomal RNA, internal transcribed spacer 2, and large subunit ribosomal RNA
Rfam family: 5.8S ribosomal RNA (bases 1-120)
Source: RNAcentral